Molecule: long non-coding RNA, 378 nt
Organism: Zingiber officinale
Lineage: Eukaryota; Viridiplantae; Streptophyta; Magnoliopsida; Zingiberales; Zingiberaceae
Exons: 2
Source: RefSeq, a predicted model, not a curated record
CGAUCUUCUUCUCCGGAGUUCUUUCCACGAUCCACCGAACAAGAUCAAGUUUAGUUUACAUCUCAAAAAUAAGAUUCAGCAUCUUGAGAAAGACCUUUCCCUUUCAAAUCAAGAUGAAGAAAGACAGAGAUCAUCUUUCACGGCAUCAACAACUACUUCAAGGAAUUUUCAACUUGAGAGGCCCUCAAGUAUGACAGAUCCUGUCAACUUUAACUCCCAGGCUUACAUAAGAAAUGAACCAGGAGAUACUAUGACUUGGAGCUCACCUACUCCAUCCUAUUAUGCAAACCAAUUUGGGACUACAUCUGCAGACAGACAAGUAUUUACUCCAAAGCUUCUUGACAUUAAUUACAUUGAAGGAUCUGGAGAUAAAAAAUG